CACGGAAGGGGCUCGCGUUCUUCGGAAUUACUGGGCGUAAAGAGCGCGUAGGCGGCUUACCAAGUCGGGGGUGAAAUCCCGGAGCUCAAAUCCGGAACUGCCUUCAAAACUGGUAGGCUCGAGUCCGGAAGAGGGGCGUGGAAUUCCCAGUGUAGAGGUGAAAUUCGUAGAUAUUGGGAAGAACACCGGUGGCGAAGGCGGCGCCCUGGUCCGGUACUGACGCUGAGGCGCGAAAGCGUGAGGAGCAAACAGG
RNAcentral lists this ribosomal RNA (253 nucleotides) under uncultured bacterium. Its description in RNAcentral is "partial 16S ribosomal RNA". It matches the Rfam family "Bacterial small subunit ribosomal RNA", at positions 524 to 776 of the family's 1533-position model. The record is from RNAcentral.